GACGAACCGUGCAAACGUUGUUCGGAAUCACUGGGCUUAAAGGGCGCGUAGGCGGGCUGUCCAGUCUGGGGUGAAAUCCCGCGGCUCAACCGUGGAACUGCCUUAGAUACUGACGGCCUCGAGGGAGAUAGGGGCAUGCGGAACUGUAGGUGGAGCGGUGAAAUGCGUUGAUAUCUACAGGAACUCCGGUGGCGAAGGCGGCGUGCUGGAUCUCUUCUGACGCUGAGGCGCGAAAGCUAGGGGAGCAAACGGG
Molecule: ribosomal RNA, 253 nt
Filed under: uncultured bacterium
Lineage: Bacteria
Description: partial 16S ribosomal RNA
Rfam family: Bacterial small subunit ribosomal RNA
Source: RNAcentral